Long non-coding RNA from Oreochromis aureus, 1139 nucleotides. The record is from Ensembl. NCBI's taxonomy places the organism in Eukaryota, Metazoa, Chordata, Actinopteri, Cichliformes, Cichlidae.
CAGUUCAUAAUGAGCGGCAGGCUCGGGGCUGAGUGUGUUAAUCAGGAAGCACGGAGAUGUUAGCCGGGGUCACAGGAAAGUACACAUUACUCAGCCUUCCACAACCCGCCUUUAAACAGCUGGAGGACUUAUGUGACUUCAGGCAGUGAUUGACAGUGUAAAGCUAGAUUUCAUUAUAUGGGCACUUUCCUUUUAGCCUCUGUUUUCUUUUUUAUGCUCACUUGCUCACAAUUUCAUUUAACUUUUUUUUGCAAAGUAUUAAGUUCAGGAAUGUAUUUGAUGUCCUCUUUCGAUGUACAAGUUUUAUCAAAAAAUUCUGAUAUUUGUAAAUGCUUUUUUGAUACAGCUGAAUUGAUCUAAUACAGAAAAAAGGGGGCUUUGAGUGUUGAUUUCAGAGGAUGCAUGUCUGUAUCUGUUCCCACAGGAAUCAAUAGCUCCUCAUACUGAAGAAGUCAGGGCAACAAAGAGUAAUAUCCUGGAAUCCCUUGGUUCUCUCCCACUGUGCCCAAAUCAUCCACCUAAAUCUCCUCUUGUUCAUUUUUUCAUUCCUUCUGUCCCUCUUUCCCACGUGUAUCAACAUCAGAGCAUCUUGUCGUGCUCCCUGCUCUCUCUCUUUCUUUAUCUUCCUUUCUGUUAAUCCCACUGACUUUACAGUAUCGUUCCUCAUCUGUUUUCUUAUCUUCUUUCUUUACUGUUACAUCACGUUUUUAUUUGUUUUCUUUUUAAACCUGGCCGCCCAUAACCUCUUAAAACCCCCACAAAGCAUCUGUCCCACCCUCUCAGCUCCAUCUGUGGCUGUUUUCAUACCUUCUGUCCUGCUAUUCCCAUGUGCCUUGUCCUGUUCUGCCCCCUGUUUAUCUCACUUUGACCUUCCUCUCUCUCUUUCUGACCCCACCCGUACCUCCAUCUUCUCCCGCGUGGCCAUGCUGGAACGCAUGUCCCGUCGCUCUCGCUCCCUGCUCUCCCUCACCUUGACCUCUUUGGCUCUGGCCCUCUCCAUCCUGGCUCUCUGCACCUCAUACUGGUGUGAGGGCACUCACAAGGUGGUCAAGCCCCUCUGCCUGUCGCCUGUCAAAAUGAAGAACUGCGGUCAGAACAACAGUGAGCCUUACACCACAGAGAGUCCCACUCAGAACCCC